Molecule: small nuclear RNA, 124 nt
Gene: U2
Rfam family: U2 spliceosomal RNA
About the family: U2 is a small nuclear RNA (snRNA) component of the spliceosome (involved in pre-mRNA splicing). Complementary binding between U2 snRNA (in an area lying towards the 5' end but 3' to hairpin I) and the branchpoint sequence (BPS) of the intron results the bulging out of an unpaired adenosine, on the BPS, which initiates a nucleophilic attack at the intronic 5' splice site, thus starting the first of two transesterification reactions that mediate splicing.
Source: Ensembl
AUCGCUUCUCAGCCUUUUGGCUAAGAUCAAGUGUAAAAUAAUUAUUUCAAGUUUUGUGAAUUAUUUUAACAUCCAAAGUUUCAAAUAAACAUACUGGUUACCAUUCUAACUGGAUGGAAAUCAU